CUCCUUACUCCACGCUUACUCCACGUAUUUAGACCACGCAUAAGAAACGCCGCUGCAAAACGCGUCUCAAUCAGCCCCCCCCCGCGUUCGGGCCGCUGAGUCACAAGUUGCCGUGGCGAUCGUUAUCUAAACCUCGGCUCUAUCGUCUCCCUCCGCGUGCCCGCUCUGUUAACGUGACGUGUCCCGGGGCACGCUAUUGCCGAAAGCCUCUCCGAUGAGGCGCGAACAACCCGGCGACGUAACGAGGACGGGACCGAAGCGUUUCGUAUAGAGCGAGAGACAUUCGAUCCCCCGCUUAAACCGAUGACGUAAACGUCGAACGGGAAACGGAUAUGGAAAAGCCGAACUCACCCCCCCCCCUUCCGCUCCGCCCCCGCGACGACGGUUCGGAGGUCUUGUACUUUUGACGUUUCUUACCGCAAUGGGUGGACGCGGCCCUCCGAUGUGACCGAAAAUAUAGGCGCGUAGGGAGACAUACGUAGAUCGCGGUCUGGUUAUGAGUUGACCUACUCCACUUUGAUUCUACCUACGCGCUCUCCUUCCACAGGGAUGCUACCCCUUUCGGGGACGCUGUCUCGCGUCACGAGGGUGCUCGCUCGAAUUGUCUCGUCGCCCGCGAAACGUCUCCUCUUCCCCGUUUCGCUCGGUCCCCCGCGCGAAGAAAUAAUUAACGUUAAAGCUUUAAUAUCCAAUUAAAACUGGUUACCGGCGAAUCGAUAUCUCUGAUAUAAUAUUUAUGUUUUUUAAUCGAGCACCACGGACUCGAGUUCUAUUGUUCAGAUCGCGGCGGGAAAUCACGUAAAUACGCGAAAUGACUAAGAGUGAAAACCCGAUUCCAUUCGCGAAUGCAUCGUAUCGCCGCGAGAUAUCUUCGAAGGAGAGCUUGUCGCGGAACGUGAUAUUGGAUUAUGAUUCCGCAACCUUUGUACGUUUAAAUUCUUGGCGAAUGAAAGAAGGAAAAUAUUAAACGCGAUGACAAUUUAUGGAAAGUGGACUCAGGACUUCAGGUCGGCCGUCGGAAACCGUUCAGAUCGGGUCUCGGGAAAUCACGUAAAUACAUGAAAUGAUUAAAAGCGAAGCUUGAUUCUAUUCGCGAAUGUGUCAUAUAUCUCUGCGAGACGUCGAGUCAGACACGUUCUCCACCGCAAACGUGCGUCAUACCCUCUCGUUCUCGAAAGAGAGCGUAUCGCGAAACGUGAUGUUGGGCUACGAUGCCGCAACUCUUAUACGUUUAAAUUCCUGGUAAAUGAAAGAAAGGAAAUGUUAAGCGCGACGACAAUUCAUGAAUUUAGACUCAGGCUUUAGGUCAGCCGUUGGAGACCGUCGAUCCCGGCCGCGUAAUCGGAGGGAUCGCUGCGAACGCGUGUCACAAAUUAUCCGCCAGUGGUGUCGAAACAUGAGAAGUCUGCGUGGUACAUUCUUUAAUAGAAUACUUUUAUUCAAACACGAGUGUUAACGAAAUCGCUGUUAAUAGAUUAAUCGCGCGUGACGACGUGGUCACGCAUGAAGCAAAACCGCAAAAACUCGGUAAUGAUAUAUAUAUAUAUAUAUAUGUAUAUAUAUAUAUAUAAUUAUACGUAUAACAAUCGCAUAUAUAGAUCAUAUACAACAAAUUCUUGGUAUAUAUAUCUGUAAUAAAAUCUCACUAACGUAGUAGUAUCUAAGGGAUGUUUUAUGCACUGUGCAUACUAAUUGCAUCGCUUCAUUUCCUUUUCUCUUCUACGGAAUACGGAGAGUACCUCUGGUGCAGUUAAAACGCACGAGAUGUGAAAAACGUGCAUUUGCCCUCUCUUAGGCACGAAUAUACAUACAUAUACAUAACAUACAUACAUAUACACAUACGCACAUAUACAUGAUAUAUUCUACAUAUAUGCACGCAUAUGUAUAUGUAUAUUCUGUUUUACAAAGACGCGACACAGAUCAAGUUCGAAUUAACGGACUCCAUAAUUAAUACACGGGACACACAUGUAAAAUAUAUCUAUAUAUAUGUGUGUAUAUAGUAUGUAGGGAGAGAUAGAGCUCGACUUUACACGAAUCAAGAUCUAAGAUCGUUCUCUCGCUGUAGGAGCCGCUGAGUCCUUCUCGCGUGCCGAAACCGAACGUUUACACAGGAAUGUCUCGGAAAGUGACGCUUGCUGAAGAGAAGUCCGAAUGGAAUCGCUCCUCUCCGAAUCAGAAACUCAUACAGCGAUGGAAGGUUUCACACCGACAUAAAAGCCGCGAGACACGCGGGAAUUCGUAGCUCGCUGUAAGGAUCGCCGAGGAGGACCAAGUAAGGGGGCGGUGUAAAAAAACUCGGAGCGACGGAGGAAGCCAGUAAGGUUGAAAUCGUGUUUACGCUAUAUUGCCUCUAGUCCUAAGGCACAGUUAUAUAAAUAUCUCUAUACCUGUGUGUGAGAUAAGUAUUACGUGCUCAACAAUAGUACUUUAAUGUGACAACCCGCGGUCAGCCCGUCAGCUCGCGAGACUCGAUCGAAGGGGCUCGUCUCGCUUCGGACUCCUCGACAAGUAUCAUCAUGCCCAUGUAUAUAUACUUAAUUGUCGCGCACCGACGCUCAAUCUGAACGGCAAUUCCAGCAGAUAGGUGCAUAAUUCAAAACCCUUCGGUAUUUGUGAUAUCCGAGACAUAUCUUUAUUCGUUAUUUUCGUAAGACAAACAUAAAGAAAUAAAAAGUACACUGAAGCGUCAA
Long non-coding RNA from Vollenhovia emeryi, 2690 nucleotides. RefSeq lists it as uncharacterized. The transcript has 2 exons. The record is from RefSeq and is a predicted model, not a curated record. Lineage: Eukaryota; Metazoa; Arthropoda; Insecta; Hymenoptera; Formicidae.